RNAcentral lists this long non-coding RNA (1073 nucleotides) under Fukomys damarensis (Damara mole-rat). RNAcentral's name for it is "lncRNA (ENSFDAG00000031105.1)". The record is from RNAcentral. Lineage: Eukaryota; Metazoa; Chordata; Mammalia; Rodentia; Bathyergidae.
UCUCCACAUUGCUACCCUGGGGAUCCAGCUUCUGGCACAUGGAUGUGGGGACCAACCAGGUCUGAACCACAGCAUGCUGUAUUCUGCUGUAUGGGAUUUCUGAAGAGAAAAAGGAUAUUUCGGAAAAAUGAAGAAAAUCUGAACAAAAAUGGACCUUAGUUAAAAAUACCAAUAUUGGUUUAUUAACUAUAACACCCAUACUAUACAAAGAUAAGGUGUUAAUAAUAGAGAGAACCUGAUAUGGGGUCCAUGGCAGUCUGUGAUAUGUGUGAAAUUUUUCUUUGAAACUAAACUCUUCUAAAAGGGCCUAUUAAAAACAAGAUGACGGAGGGCCAGAGAUUUAGCUCAGUGGUGCGGGUGCCUGCCUUGCAAGUUUGAUCCUGAUAACCCCCAAAACAAAACAAAACAAAGCAAAAAACCAAGAUGAUGGAAAUACAGAGCCAUGGUUGGGGUUCAGGGAAAUCUCAUGAGCAGGAGCUCAGAAAAAGGGCCAGGUGGAGACGGCAGUCAAAGAAGGGACUGCUGCAAGGAUAAUAGACCUUUGAUAAAAAUACUGGUGGUGAGAGAAGGAAUGGUCCUGAGGGCCCUGGUCAUAGAAGCCCCUCUGGUCUUCAAGGAAGCAAAGACUGAAGGAGGCCAGCUUCACCAUGCAGGCCCUGGUCCAGUUCCACCUCAGAGACCCAACACAGCAAUGUUCCAACUUUCAGUCACCCUCCCUUCUGGAUGAUGGCACAACCUCUGUGCCCAUCUACUUUACUCGAGCUUACGAGGAAGCCACCAGCCUCUCAGAGCCCAAAUUAGAUCAUCUCACCUUCCACGGUAAGCCAGUGGUCCCCUUGUUCCUAUGGUAACAUCUGUUUUCUGCCAUGUCUAUGUUACCCACCUUUGCUCGCUCCAUGCCUCCUUGGCUCUUCCUCCUUUUCUUCCUGUAAUAGUUCCUGUAAGUGGUGGUGAAAGGGGUGGCACCCUCAGGCUUGGGGGAUCCAUAAUGGAAAACUGAUUUCACCUCCUCAUUGUGAGCUGAGCAAGGUAUGUGAGUUGCUUUUCACCCAAAGCAUGGGAUACACGUUUCC